UCCUAGCCCCGAUAGCAACGGUUAUCCCGCAGCAUGCGUUGGAGAGUUUAAGGGUUUUGAGCAUAGGAAUGGGUGGCGUGAGGAGUAUGGGUGGAUAGUGGGAAACAGC
RNAcentral lists this small RNA (109 nucleotides) under Chryseobacterium nakagawai. Its description in RNAcentral is "Flavo-1 RNA". The record is from RNAcentral. Lineage: Bacteria; Pseudomonadati; Bacteroidota; Flavobacteriia; Flavobacteriales; Weeksellaceae.